RNAcentral lists this long non-coding RNA (683 nucleotides) under Pan troglodytes (chimpanzee). RNAcentral's name for it is "lincRNA". Lineage: Eukaryota; Metazoa; Chordata; Mammalia; Primates; Hominidae. The record is from RNAcentral.
ACAGAAAGGAAACAGAGGCUCAGAGAAGCUAAGACAUUUGCACAGGACCACAGCUGGGCUGAGAAGAAAAAUUGAAUACUGAUGAGAAAGAAGAUGGAUAGAAGAGCGAGACAUGCAACUGGGACUCUAACACAAAUGCCAUUCUCCCUGGGAAGGGACUAGCCCAGUCAGCAGCCACCUCACUCCAUGAGUUGGUUCUGAGGCCCCCUCUGUGCCAGGCAGCUCGGGACACAAGGUGAAUUAGAUCCAACCUCACAGCCAUGUGAGGCAGACAGAGUGACACAGACUCUGUCACCAGAAGAGCAAGCAUUUGAACGGGCUGUCAGAUGGAGAGCCCAAGCUCUUUCUGCUCUAGGUUCCCUCCCUCUGCUGCAGUUGGGAGAGGCUGGGCUGGGAAGCCCACAUGAGCUGUUGCAGCUCCCUGCAAGGGACUCUCACCUCCUCUCUCAGGCCUCCUCUCCUUGGGCUCCUGGCCUGGCCCUUCACACCUUUCUCCAACUCCAUCAUGACUGCAGACUUUGGCCUUCCCUCAGGAAAAGAACGAAUUUUUCUCCACAAAAUUCUACAAUCUCUUCCAGCCUCUCCUUUUAGCUACUGUCAUAUCCAUUCACCUAAGUGAUAACAGAAGACCACAAGUCAGAUGACUCAUAUAUUCACCUAUUCAAUAAACACUCCAGAGCAUU